GAGAAAGAGAAUAUGAAGCUUGAAUGGCAGAUGCUGAUAGCAGAAUGAACAGCAGAUGUUGAUACUUUGUGUGCUGUUUGAUAUUGGGCCAAACCCUGCCUGUCUCACUCAUGUGAUGAGUACCGGUAGUAGAGAGACUCGUCAGAGGCUUGUGUGCUGCUUUUUUAAUGGAAAGUCCACUUGGCUGAAUAACACUCAACUGUCAUGAAAGAAUCUGGAAAUUCGUGCUAUAAACAUGUUGCAUUCUGAUCACCAAUGGAAACAUUUGAAUUCUUUUGAAAUUUAGGAUAUUCCUUUCACAGGCUGUCUAUAUGUUUAAAUGGUUGGGAUCCUCUCUCUCUAUUUAGAGAAAUAUUUGCAUAGCAUCUGUCUCUUUUUUUUUUCUUUAGUGAAAUAGCCUCAUUGUUACCUCUUAGGACUAAAUCAGACUUGUGCUACUCGUGUGAGUUACUCCCACUGACUUCAGAGUGAGUAAGGAGAGCAGAAUUUGGCUCCUACUGUAUUUUUUAUAUUACUGCUUGAAAAAUUGUUCCUGUCUUCUCUUUGUGAGAUGCUGUGAAGAGACAUCUUGUCCAAAGAUGGGAGAUCAACAAUGGAAGUGUGAAGAGUAUUUAGUUGUUCCUGUUCUGGUUGCCCCUGUACCCGAUGGAGCACUUGCUUUGCAGAGACAUUCAGAGGUAGGGAGUGCCUUCACAGCCCUUCGCACUUGGAAUUUAGUGUCCAAAACGAGAGACAAGAAAGAUAAACUGUGAUACAAGAA
Chrysemys picta bellii (western painted turtle) is the source of this 760-nucleotide non-coding RNA. Lineage: Eukaryota; Metazoa; Chordata; Testudines; Emydidae. The record is from RefSeq and is a predicted model, not a curated record.